This 999-nucleotide ribosomal RNA is filed under the name Salmonella enterica. RNAcentral's name for it is "partial 23S ribosomal RNA". It matches the Rfam family "Bacterial large subunit ribosomal RNA", at positions 1 to 1038 of the family's 2925-position model. Lineage: Bacteria; Pseudomonadati; Pseudomonadota; Gammaproteobacteria; Enterobacterales; Enterobacteriaceae. The record is from RNAcentral.
GGUUAAGCGACCAAGCGUACACGGUGGAUGCCCUGGCAGUCAGAGGCGAUGAAGGACGUGCUAAUCUGCGAUAAGCGCCGGUAAGGUGAUAUGAACCGUUAUAACCGGCGAUGUCCGAAUGGGGAAACCCGGUGCACUACGGUGCAUCAUCGUUUGAUGAAUACAUAGUCAAACGAGGCGAACCGGGGGAACUGAAACAUCUAAGUACCCCGAGGAAAAGAAAUCAACCGAGAUUCCCCCAGUAGCGGCGAGCGAACGGGGAGGAGCCCAGAGCCUGAAUCAGCAUGUGUGUUAGUGGAAGCGUCUGGAAAGGCGCGCGAUACAGGGUGACAGCCCCGUACACAAAAGCGCAUGUGCAGUGAGCUCGAAGAGUAGGGCGGGACACGUGGUAUCCUGUCUGAAUAUGGGGGGACCAUCCUCCAAGGCUAAAUACUCCUGACUGACCGAUAGUGAACCAGUACCGUGAGGGAAAGGCGAAAAGAACCCCGGCGAGGGGAGUGAAACAGAACCUGAAACCGUGUACGUACAAGCAGUGGGAGCACAGAGCAAUCUGUGUGACUGCGUACCUUUUGUAUAAUGGGUCAGCGACUUAUAUUCUGUAGCAAGGUUAACCGAAUAGGGGAGCCGGAGGGAAACCGAGUCUUAACCGGGCGUUAAGUUGCAGGGUAUAGACCCGAAACCCGGUGAUCUAGCCAUGGGCAGGUUGAAGGUUGGGUAACACUAACUGGAGGACCGAACCGACUAAUGUUGAAAAAUUAGCGGAUGACCUGUGGCUGGGGGUGAAAGGCCAAUCAAACCGGGAGAUAGCUGGUUCUCCCCGAAAGCUAUUUAGGUAGCGCCUCGUGAAUUCAUCUCCGGGGGUAGAGCACUGUUUCGGCUAGGGGGCCAUCCCGGCUUACCAACCCGAUGCAAACUGCGAAUACCGGAGAAUGUUAUCACGGGAGACACACGGCGGGUGCUAACGUCCGUCGUGAAGAGGGAAACAACCCAGACCGCCAG